Molecule: ribosomal RNA, 1449 nt
Filed under: uncultured organism
Description: SSU rRNA
Rfam family: Bacterial small subunit ribosomal RNA
Source: RNAcentral
GGAUGAACGCUAGCGACAGGCUUAACACAUGCAAGUCGAGGGGCAGCACAGGUAGCAAUACCGGGUGGCGACCGGCGCACGGGUGAGUAACGCGUAUGCAACUUACCUAUCAGAGGGGGAUAACCCGGCGAAAGUCGGACUAAUACCGCAUGAAGCAGGGGUCCCGCAUGGGGAUAUUUGCUAAAGAUUCAUCGCUGAUAGAUAGGCAUGCGUUCCAUUAGGCAGUUGGCGGGGUAACGGCCCACCAAACCGACGAUGGAUAGGGGUUCUGAGAGGAAGGUCCCCCACAUUGGUACUGAGACACGGACCAAACUCCUACGGGAGGCAGCAGUGAGGAAUAUUGGUCAAUGGCCGAGAGGCUGAACCAGCCAAGUCGCGUGAGGGAUGAAGGUUCUAUGGAUCGUAAACCUCUUUUAUAAGGGAAUAAAGUGCGGGACGUGUCCCGUUUUGUAUGUACCUUAUGAAUAAGGAUCGGCUAACUCCGUGCCAGCAGCCGCGGUAAUACGGAGGAUCCGAGCGUUAUCCGGAUUUAUUGGGUUUAAAGGGUGCGUAGGCGGCCUUUUAAGUCAGCGGUGAAAGUCUGUGGCUCAACCAUAGAGUUGCCGUUGAAACUGGGGGGCUUGAGUAUGUUUGAGGCAGGCGGAAUGCGUGGUGUAGCGGUGAAAUGCAUAGAUAUCACGCAGAACCCCGAUUGCGAAGGCAGCCUGCCAAGCCAUUACUGACGCUGAUGCACGAAAGCGUGGGGAUCAAACAGGAUUAGAUACCCUGGUAGUCCACGCAGUAAACGAUGAUCACUAGCUGUUUGCGAUACACUGUAAGCGGCACAGCGAAAGCGUUAAGUGAUCCACCUGGGGAGUACGCCGGCAACGGUGAAACUCAAAGGAAUUGACGGGGGCCCGCACAAGCGGAGGAACAUGUGGUUUAAUUCGAUGAUACGCGAGGAACCUUACCCGGGUUUGAACGCAUUCGGACCGAGGUGGAAACACCUUUUCUAGCAAUAGCCGUUUGCGAGGUGCUGCAUGGUUGUCGUCAGCUCGUGCCGUGAGGUGUCGGCUUAAGUGCCAUAACGAGCGCAACCCUUGCCACUAGUUACUAACAGGUAAAGCUGAGGACUCUGGUGGGACUGCCAGCGUAAGCUGCGAGGAAGGCGGGGAUGACGUCAAAUCAGCACGGCCCUUACAUCCGGGGCGACACACGUGUUACAAUGGCGUGGACAAAGGGAAGCCACCUGGCGACAGGGAGCGAAUCCCCAAACCACGUCUCAGUUCGGAUCGGAGUCUGCAACCCGACUCCGUGAAGCUGGAUUCGCUAGUAAUCGCGCAUCAACCAUGGCGCGGUGAAUACGUUCCCGGGCCUUGUACACACCGCCCGUCAAGCCAUGGGAGCCGGGGGUACCUGAAGUCCGUAACCGCGAGGAUCGGCCUAGGGUAAAACUGGUGACUGGGGCUA